Molecule: non-coding RNA, 208 nt
Organism: Cinara cedri
Lineage: Eukaryota; Metazoa; Arthropoda; Insecta; Hemiptera; Aphididae
Source: the annotation of a GenBank genome assembly
AAUGCUAACCCAGUGUUGCAUCAUCGUCGUCAUCAUCGGGCACGGGUGUGUGUUCCCCGACGGUACACGAUAAUUGUUACGCAGGUGCCGGACCGCCUGCGUUAGGCGGCGUUUGGUUGUCUUACAAUUUCGUUACGCGUUAUCUUUGUUCGUCGUAAUGCAAUAGUUAUGCAAGUCGGUACGGUUUUAUUGCCGCAAUCGAUAAACC